This 822-nucleotide long non-coding RNA is filed under the name Sorghum bicolor (sorghum). Its description in RNAcentral is "long non-coding RNA (SBIC_LNC006307)". The record is from RNAcentral. Lineage: Eukaryota; Viridiplantae; Streptophyta; Magnoliopsida; Poales; Poaceae.
ACGCUUUCUAUUUUUUUUUUAUGAUCUUUAUGUGUUUCGGUCAGCCAUAGGUGUAUGCUCUUAUUUGGACUCGCUGGCCUAGUAUUUGUUUAGCCCAAUGUUGUUCUUUGUUUAACGCAAAAGUGAAUUUGGGCGGUUGGGCCUAUACUCAUGAGUCAUGACAUAUGAACAGACGUGAAAAAAGAAGUCAGCGAGCUUCUUUGGUGAACGUGAGUAUCAAAAUAUUUAUUUGUUAUAUGAGACAAAUGCAGUUACAAAUUAUGAGUAGAAACCAAAAACUAAAGUAAACACAAUGAAAAACAAUAAACUAAAAUAUAAUACUGAAAUUGAAAUUACCAAAUACCAAAACAGAAAUUGAUAACCAGAAAAUAUAACUGAAAUCACAAAACUGAAAACUAAAGUGGACUCAAUGAAAAAUAAAGAGAAGAAACAUAAAACUGAAACUGAAGUAGACACAAUGAAAAAUAAGUAAAUGAAACAUAAAUUGACAACUAUAAAACUAAACUAAAACUGACAAAGUAUAAAAUGAAAACUAAAGAAAAAACAUUCCAAAUAAUACAUAAAUACUUAUUAUAAUACUUGGAUCAGCAAGAAAACACAAAGAAUUGUCAAUCCAGAGCCUCAACAAUACUUUUCCCCAAAUUCAUUUAAAAUUAUGUGCUUGUGUCAAGUAUAAUUUUGUGUACGCGGUAAGUUAUUUUUUUAGCAAGAGGCUACUUAUUUUGAUCACCAUAAUAUAUAAAAUACGUAAGUAGCUACUAUAUAUACAAUAUAAGUUACCACUAUAUUAAAUAUAUAUAUUAAAAUAUAGGUAUAAUGGUC